Zonotrichia albicollis (white-throated sparrow) is the source of this 617-nucleotide non-coding RNA. NCBI's taxonomy places the organism in Eukaryota, Metazoa, Chordata, Aves, Passeriformes, Passerellidae. The record is from RefSeq and is a predicted model, not a curated record.
UGCACUGCAUGCAGAAUCCUUUGUCGUGGGAAAAGCACAGGAAGCACAAUACUGCAACAUCUGCAACUGCUCUGCCCUGCUGGGAUUGAACUCUAAUUUUCUACAUAAUGAUGGAGAUGAAUAUCCCUUAAAGGUGCAAAUGUAGGACAGGUCUUCACAGGGAAGAAUGUCUGCUAAUGAGGACCUCUCCCCACACAGAAAACUGUUCUCAGACACAAUGAGGGGAUACUCAUCAGAACUUGAAGCCCAACAAGAUUGCACUGCCCCUUCAACAAAACUCUGCAUCUGAAAGUAAAAUUAAUUCUCUGAGGCCCUGCUCCCAGAGUCAGAAUGAGAAGGAUACCAGCAGUGCCACCCAUAAAUAUUGAAACUGUGUCAUCUGAGGGAAGAAAAUGAAGACAUCUUCCAAAAAUGGAAGUUAUAUAAAAACUGAUGCAUGGUAUACAAGGGGCCUUCUCUGUUUUACAGAUUGGUUCUCCUGCUGGGGAAGUCAAAGAAAAAAUUCAGGUGGUGGAGGAGGAACUCCAGGCAGUCCAUCGCCAUCUGGAAGAGCAACAGGGCACGAGUGCCACAUCUCCUGGGAGACCUCCGGGGGUGGCAGCACACCAGGAGCCUCU